Molecule: ribosomal RNA, 501 nt
Filed under: uncultured bacterium
Lineage: Bacteria
Description: bacterial SSU rRNA
Rfam family: Bacterial small subunit ribosomal RNA
Source: RNAcentral
GACGAACGCUGGCGGCGUGCUUAACACAUGCAAGUCGAACGGACCUUAUGGAAUAGUUUACUAGGAAAUAAGGUUAGUGGCGGACGGGUGAGUAACACGUGGAUAAUCUGCCUGGCACACAGGGAUAACACUGUGAAAACGGUGCUAAUACCGGAUACGCUCUACUGAUUGCAUAACUGGUAGAGGAAAGGGGGAACCCGGUGCGAGAUGAGUCCGCGGCUGAUUAGCUAGUUGGUGGGGUAAGAGCCUACCAAGGCGACGAUCAGUAGCCGGCCUGAGAGGGUGAACGGCCACACUGGAACUGAGACACGGUCCAGACUCCUACGGAGGCAGCAGUGGGGAAUCUUCCGCAAUGGGCGAAAGCCUGACGGAGCAACGCCGCGUGGGUGACGAAGGCCUUCGGGUUGUAAAGCCCUGUCUUAUGGGAAGAAAAAAUAGACGGUACCAUAGGAGGAAGCCACGGCUAACUACGUGCCAGCAGCCGCGGUAAGAGUCACGUCG